This 414-nucleotide ribosomal RNA is filed under the name uncultured bacterium. RNAcentral describes it as "bacterial SSU rRNA". It matches the Rfam family "Bacterial small subunit ribosomal RNA", at positions 355 to 787 of the family's 1533-position model. The record is from RNAcentral.
UGGGGAAUAUUGCACAAUGGGGAAGACCCUGAUGCAGCGACGCCGCGUGAAGGAAGAAGUAUCUCGGUAUGUAAACUUCUAUCAGCAGGGAAGACAAUGACGGUACCUGACUAAGAAGCCCCGGCUAACUACGUGCCAGCAGCCGCGGUAAUACGUAGGGGCAAGCGUUAUCCGGAUUUACUGGGUGUAAAGGGAGCGUAGGCGGUAAGGCAAGUCUGAUGUGAAAACCCAGGGCUCAACCCUGGGACUGCAUUGGAAACUGUUUAACUGGAGUGUCGGAGAGGCAAGUGGAAUUCCUAGUGUAGCGGUGAAAUGCGUAGAUAUUAGGAGGAACACCAGUGGCGAAGGCGGCUUACUGGACGGUAACUGACGUUGAGGCUCGAAAGCGUGGGGAGCAAACAGGAUUAGAUACCC